Long non-coding RNA from Alligator mississippiensis (American alligator), 893 nucleotides. RefSeq lists it as uncharacterized. Lineage: Eukaryota; Metazoa; Chordata; Crocodylia; Alligatoridae. The transcript has 3 exons. The record is from RefSeq and is a predicted model, not a curated record.
CCAAGCUGUUUCUUCCACAUUGAUGACAAGCCUCUCCUUCAUCUUACUAGCUGUUGUUGGUUCUCCACCAUCAGUUAAAUCCUCAUUAUUUUUUGUGAGGACUAAUAAGGAAUCUUGAUUAUCCUCUCAUAAUCUUGUCUUGAUUAGCCUCUUACUAUAAAUCAGGAACUGGAUCAUUAUCAUCAGUGAGGGUGCAUUUAGGGAAAUAAGAGAAUUGGGUCAUAGAUUUUUUUUUUCUGAGGGGGAGCCAUGAGAAAAAAAGCAUGGAGGUAAACUGGUAGGAAAACCAGUUUGACUGAAUCUAAGAAAGUGGUGUUUUUCAGACAAAACAACCUUGAAGCUGCAAGUGGAAGAAAGAGAGUAUACUUGUUUGAAGAUGCAACAUCUGGAAGACCAUAAUACAAGCCGCAAUUACUUGAUGACUGAUUUUGUGAUAAAUUCUUCAUCUCAAGAUUGUUCAGAAGAAAUUUACUGCAAAUAUUCAAAACUAAAGCUGUAUUUGGUUAGUUUUGGUAGGAAACCAAACGUUACCUUUUCUGUUUGCUGGCUACCUCUGCAGAACCAGCUUUCCAGUUCUCACACUUGCUGGGUGUCUUGGGUUUUCCAUCGGUGAUUAAAGCCCCGGGAUCUGCUCUGAGGCUAGCCAUCUUUCAGUGCUCUAAAGAAACUCGCCAUAGAAUGAAAAUCAUAUCAGGAGCAAUUAGACAAAAGGUCAGCAUAAAUUCCUCCUGUAUCCAGAGCAUUAUCAUCACCCAAGUGUCUCUUGCUUACAGUAUGUUGUGACAAAGUAAAAGCUAUUUCAGCUCUUAUAUUGUGAUGGCUGUUAUUUAUGGAACAUAAAAGGAUACUGAAAUACAAAAGGGUUUGAAAAGACCAGGGUAAGAUCAGAUAAA